GUAGGCAGUGAGCGCAGGUUAAAAAAGGAAAGUGAAUCUGGUUCCUGAGUUUGAGAAACUCAUGACGCAUCCAGGUAGAGACUUAAAAUACUUGGAAGAGCAAUCUGCCUGAAAAUAGAGAUUUGGAAGACAUCAGCAAAUAGGCGGUAGUGGAAACAAGGAAGUGAACGCUCAGAAAAGUAGUGGAUAGAGAGCUCAUGUAGUGCGUAGAGAGCUCAUGUAGUGGGUGGAGAGCUCAUGUAGUGGGUAGAGAGCCAGGAAGUGCAGACUCGGGAGUGGACGGGGAAGGGAGGGAGAUGAGGGGCCAGAGAAAGUUUCAAGAAGGAGAAAAGUAUAAUUCUUCAGAAAGGUUGAUAAAUCACGGUGCUGACCUCUUUUCCCCUCCUGCUGUUUGGAGACGUCUGGGCCCUCAUUUAGUGCUUCCUUUCGGAGGACGCUGGGCCUUCCAGGACUGUGUGACCCGCCCAGCAUGGAUGCUGAUCUGCGCUCCUGAAAUGACCUUAUUCUUCACAGAUCCCAAGGAAAGAUUGACCAAUGGAGCUGUGGAAGAACAAGAAUCCAGCUGGCCCCUUGGAACAACUGGGACCAAAAGUUUCAACAUCUUCAGGACUCUCUUUCAAUCCCUAGGUCCUCUGUUGGCCUCAUUCCUAUUCCCCACAAUUAGCUGUGUCUACACGCAAAAAACAUGGCUCCCCAAGUAACACUUAACAACUUCUGCCUCCAAAGAGGGACUCCCCAUCUUCCCUAGUCUCACACAGGGCUGUCGUUCAGCCAGCAUGCCCUGGUUUUGGACACUGACGAUCAACCCUGGAAUUAGUUUCAAAUAUCCCAGGGAAGGGAAUCGUUGGUGUUACCUUUCAUUCAAUAAACUACAGGCAGGGGGCCAGGUUCCUUAAGAGCAUGGCUGCUCCCACAAACAUCACAGGUUUGAUGUGAUGGAAGAUACACUUCCCAAGAAUAAGGGUUGGUACUGGGAAGAUGACUUCUAUAUGUGUAGUUCUGGCUUUCAUCUUCCAAAAUGGUAAAAUACAGUAACUUUUUAAAGGAAAAGAAAAAAAUCGAAGGUACUCAAAAUCAUCUUUCUUUCUCAAUUUUAUUUCUACUCUCUCUCCAUUAGAAUGCACUUCAGCAUGUAUGUGCUAAGUCACUUCAGUCAUGUCCAACUUUGUGUGACCCUACGGACUGCAGCCUGCCAGGCGCCUCUGUCCAUGGGAUUCUCCAGGCAAGAAUCCUGGAGUAGGUUGCCAUGCCCUCCUCC
Molecule: long non-coding RNA, 1258 nt
Organism: Bos taurus (domestic cattle)
Lineage: Eukaryota; Metazoa; Chordata; Mammalia; Artiodactyla; Bovidae
Source: Ensembl